AGUGAACGCUGGCGGUAGGCCUAACACAUGCAAGUCGAACGGCAGCACAGUAAGAGCUUGCUCUUACGGGUGGCGAGUGGCGGACGGGUGAGGAAUACAUCGGAAUCUACUUUUUCGUGGGGGAUAACGUAGGGAAACUUACGCUAAUGCCGCAUACGACCUACGGGUGAAAGCAGGGGAUCUUCGGACCUUGCGCGAUUGAAUGAGCCGAUGUCGGAUUAGCUAGUUGGCGGGGUAAAGGCCCACCAAGGCGACGAUCCGUAGCUGGUCUGAGAGGAUGAUCAGCCACACUGGAACUGAGACACGGUCCAGACUCCUACGGGAGGCAGCAGUGGGGAAUAUUGGACAAUGGGCGCAAGCCUGAUCCAGCCAUACCGCGUGGGUGAAGAAGGCCUUCGGGUUGUAAAGCCCUUUUGUUGGGAAAGAAAAGCAGCAGGUUAAUACCCCGCUGUUCUGACAGUACCCAAAGAAUAAGCACCGGCUAACUUCGUG
RNAcentral lists this ribosomal RNA (492 nucleotides) under uncultured bacterium. RNAcentral's name for it is "partial 16S ribosomal RNA". It matches the Rfam family "Bacterial small subunit ribosomal RNA", at positions 29 to 507 of the family's 1533-position model. The record is from RNAcentral.